This 272-nucleotide ribosomal RNA is filed under the name uncultured bacterium. RNAcentral's name for it is "partial 16S ribosomal RNA". It matches the Rfam family "Bacterial small subunit ribosomal RNA", at positions 85 to 354 of the family's 1533-position model. The record is from RNAcentral.
CCGCCGGCGACCGGCGCACGGGUGAGUAACACGUAUGCAACCUGGCCGUGACAGAUGGAUAACCGGGAGAAAUCCCGCCUAAUACAACAUAAUGCCGGGAGGGGACAUCCCCUGCCGGCCAAAGGGGGCGACCCCGGUCACGGAUGGGCAUGCGGCGCAUUAGGUAGUUGGUGGGGCAACGGCCCACCAAGCCGACGAUGCGUGGGGUUCUGAGAGGAAGGUCCCCCACAUUGGAACUGAGACACGGUCCAAACUCCUACGGGAGGCAGCAG